RNAcentral lists this small RNA (109 nucleotides) under Marmota monax (woodchuck). The record is from RNAcentral. Lineage: Eukaryota; Metazoa; Chordata; Mammalia; Rodentia; Sciuridae.
GCCAGGCAUGGUGGUGUGUGCCUGUAGUUCCAGCUACUUGGAGGCUGAGGAAGGAGGCUGGCUUGAGCCCAGGAGUUGAAGGCCAACUUGGGUGUUAUGGGUUGCAUCU